Molecule: ribosomal RNA, 496 nt
Filed under: uncultured bacterium
Lineage: Bacteria
Description: partial 16S ribosomal RNA
Rfam family: Bacterial small subunit ribosomal RNA
Source: RNAcentral
GAUGAACGCUGGCGGCGUGCCUAAUACAUGCAAGUCGAGCGAACGGACGAGAAGCUUGCUUUUCUGAUGUUAGCGGCGGACGGGUGAGUAACACGUGGAUAACCUACCUAUAAGACUGGGAUAACUUCGGGAAACCGGAGCUAAUACCGGAUAAUAUUUUGAACCGCAUGGUUCAAAAGUGAAAGACGGUCUUGCUGUCACUUAUAGAUGGAUCCGCGCUGCAUUAGCUAGUUGGUAAGGUAACGGCUUACCAAGGCAACGAUGCAUAGCCGACCUGAGAGGGUGAUCGGCCACACUGGAACUGAGACACGGUCCAGACUCCUACGGGAGGCAGCAGUAGGGAAUCUUCCGCAAUGGGCGAAAGCCUGACGGAGCAACGCCGCGUGAGUGAUGAAGGUCUUCGGAUCGUAAAACUCUGUUAUUAGGGAAGAACAUAUGUGUAAGUAACUGUACACAUCUUGACGGUACCGAAUCAGAAAGCCACGGCUAACUACGU